UCUACGGACCAAAGUGGGGGACCUUCGGGCCUCAUGCCAUCAGAUGUGCCCAGAUGGGAUUAGCUAGUAGGUGGGGUAACGGCUCACCUAGGCGACGAUCCCUAGCUGGUCUGAGAGGAUGACCAGCCACACUGGAACUGAGACACGGUCCAGACUCCUACGGGGGGCAGCAGUGGGGAAUAUUGCACAAUGGGCGCAAGCCUGAUGCAGCCAUGCCGCGUGUAUGAAGAAGGCCUUCGGGUUGUAAAGUACUUUCAGCGGGGAGGAAGGUGUUGUGGUUAAUAACCGCAGCAAUUGACGUUACCCG
This 307-nucleotide ribosomal RNA is filed under the name uncultured Gammaproteobacteria bacterium. RNAcentral describes it as "bacterial SSU rRNA". It matches the Rfam family "Bacterial small subunit ribosomal RNA", at positions 193 to 481 of the family's 1533-position model. Lineage: Bacteria; Pseudomonadati; Pseudomonadota; Gammaproteobacteria. The record is from RNAcentral.